CAGAGAAUAGUUUAAAAAAUAUUAAAUUUGGGGUUUAAAGAUAGGAUAUUUAUCCUUUCUCUGA
Molecule: transfer RNA, 64 nt
Filed under: Coptotettix longtanensis
Lineage: Eukaryota; Metazoa; Arthropoda; Insecta; Orthoptera; Tetrigidae
Also listed under: 1 other name
Description: tRNA-Pro
Source: RNAcentral